This 253-nucleotide ribosomal RNA is filed under the name uncultured bacterium. RNAcentral describes it as "partial 16S ribosomal RNA". It matches the Rfam family "Bacterial small subunit ribosomal RNA", at positions 524 to 776 of the family's 1533-position model. The record is from RNAcentral.
UACGAAGCGGGCUAGCGUUGUUCGGAAUUACUGGGCGUAAAGCGCGUGUAGGCGGGCCGUUAAGUCGGGGGUGAAAGCCCAGAGCUCAACUCUGGAAUUGCCUUCGAUACUGGCGGCCUGGAGCAUGAUAGAGGCGAGUGGAAUUGCGAGUGUAGAGGUGAAAUUCGUAGAUAUUCGCAGGAACACCAGUGGCGAAGGCGACUCGCUGGAUCCUUGCUGACGAUGAGACGCGAAAGCGUGGGGAGCAAACAGG